AGAGUUUGAUCCUGGCUCAGGAUGAACGCUGGCGGCGUGCCUAACACAUGCAAGUCGGACGAAGAGGCCCCCUUCGGGGGGUACUUCAGUGGCGAACGGGUGAGUAACACGUAGGUGACCUACCCCGAAGCAGGGGAUAACGGCUCGAAAGGGUCGCUAAUACCCAAAAGGAUCGCGUUUCGCAGCGCGAUCAGAGUUCCCCUUCGGGGGAGCGUUUCGGGAGGGGCCUGCGGCCCAUCAGCUUGUUGGUAGGGUAACUGCCUACCAAGGCGAUGACGGGUAGGGGGCCUGAGAGGGUGACCCCCCACACUGGCACUGACACACGGGCCAGACUCCUACGGGAGGCAGCAGUGAGGGAUAUUGCACAAUGGGCGAAAGCCUGAUGCAGCAACGCCGCGUGGGUGAAGAAGGCCUUCGGGUCGUAAAACCCUUUUCUGGGGGAAGAGAGAGGACGGUACCCCAGGAAUAAGGUUCGGCUAACUACGUGCCAGCAGCCGCGGUAAAACGUAGGAACCGAGCGUUAUCCGGAUUCACUGGGCGUAAAGCGCCUGCAGGCGGUUCUGUAAGUUGGACGUGAAAUCUCCCGGCUCAACUGGGAGGCGCCGUUCAAUACUGCAGAACUUGAGGACAGAAGGGGGAAGUGGAAUUCCCGGUGUAGUGGUGAAAUGCGUAGAUAUCGGGAGGAACACCAGUGGCGAAGGCGGCUUCCUGGUCUGUACCUGACGCUAAGAGGCGAAAGCUAGGGGAGCGAACGGGAUUAGAAACCCCGGUAGUCCUAGCCGUAAACGAAGGACGCUAGGUGUAGGUGGUCCUAACCCCAUCUGUGCCGAAGUUAACGCGUUAAGCGUCCCGCCUGGGGACUACGACCGCAAGGUUAAAACUCAAAGGAAUUGACGGGGCCCCGCACAAGCAGCGGAGCGUGUGGUUUAAUUCGAUUCUACACGAAGAACCUUACCCAGGUUUGACAUGCAGGUAGUAGUGAAACGAAAGUGGAACGACCCCUCGGGGAGCCUGCACAGGUGCUGCAUGGCUGUCGUCAGCUCGUGCCGUGAGGUGUUGGGUUAAGUCCCCUAACGAGCGCAACCCUCGCCGUUAGUUAUACGUGUCUAGCGGGACUGCCGGUUUAAAACCGGAGGAAGGUGGGGAUGACGUCAAGUCAGCAUGGCCUUUAUGCCUGGGGCUACACACACGCUACAAUGGCCAGUAUAAUGGGUUGCCAACCCGCGAGGGGGAGCCAAUCCCACAAAGCUGGUCUCAGUUCGGAUUGGAGGCUGCAACUCGCCUCCAUGAAGCCGGAGUUGCUAGUAAACGCGCGUCAGCUAUAGUGCGUUGAAUACGUUCCCGGGGCUUGUACACACCGCCCGUCACGUCAUGGGAGCUGGCAACACCUGAAGCCGGUGGGCUAACCGCAAGGAGGCAACCGUCGAGGGUGGGGCUGGUGACUGGGACGAAGUCGUAACAAGGUA
Molecule: ribosomal RNA, 1466 nt
Filed under: metagenome
Description: bacterial SSU rRNA
Rfam family: Bacterial small subunit ribosomal RNA
Source: RNAcentral